Molecule: long non-coding RNA, 575 nt
Organism: Nicotiana tabacum (common tobacco)
Lineage: Eukaryota; Viridiplantae; Streptophyta; Magnoliopsida; Solanales; Solanaceae
Source: RefSeq, a predicted model, not a curated record
CCAUCUAAGACCAAACGGCGAAACACUGGAGCUUUUUUUUCUUCUUGGAUUUUCUCCAAAAACACACAAAGAACAGACUCCCUACCCUAAUGGUUUAAUCCCUAGCAACAAUAAUCAGGAGCAAAAAUGAAAAACUCAUAAACAUAUACAAGGGUUUUUGAAAGGCAAAUUUGAGGCUCGAAGAAGCUCAGCUGGGUCGAAAAUUACUUUGUUUCUUUUGUUGCUCGGAACUGAACCAAGGUCCAACUAUAGCUGCUGUUUUCUGCCAUCAUUUGGCUCACUUUAGUGCCCUCCUUUGUUUGAUUUAGGAAUCUAAUAUCCAGCAAUGCGUAUUGUGUUUCAAUUUGAAAAAGUAUUUGAAAUAGUGAAGUAGAUGAAAAAAUGAUACUUACAUGGGUCAAUUUUAAUUCUUGACUUUGAGUAGAAUGUUGUUAUUGGUUGCUUGACGAUUUAAGCUCGAUUGCAUUUUUUUUAAGUUUGGGAUUUGGGUUCUGUAAAUGAAAUGUCCCUGUAAGCUUUUUUUUUUGUGUAUACUAAUUUUAUGUUUUGUAUAUAUAUCUUCUACUUUGGAUUUA